Molecule: RNA transcript, 2030 nt
Organism: Triticum aestivum (bread wheat)
Lineage: Eukaryota; Viridiplantae; Streptophyta; Magnoliopsida; Poales; Poaceae
Exons: 5
Source: RefSeq, a predicted model, not a curated record
CACCCCUCGUCCGUCUCACCCCCCCUAGUCCAAACCCUAGCUUCCCUCGCGCCGCACCCGAGCCAUGCCUCCUUCCCUCCUCACGCCGCCACCCACCCACCGCCUCCUCCCUACCACAGCUCGCUGCCGACGGCCUCCCCUCUCCCAUCCGCUUCCCUCCCGCCCCAGACGGAUUGCCCCUCUCCUCUCCUGCAACCCCCCUCUCUCUCUCUCCCCACACUUCACAGUGACAGCAGGCACUCCCAGAUCCAUCCGGAUGCCGGACAUGGAGGAGUCCGCGCAGCCCAAGCCCGCCAACCCCUCGGAACCGGAGCUCUCCUCGGACCCGCCCAAGGGCGCGGGGACGAACGCGGAUGGCUGGCGGCGAGGCCGCCGCCAGGAGAUCCGACUUCGCCGACGGGAAUGGGGCCGGAUCCGCCACGCCCGAGCGCUCCAUCCUCGUCGACAGGGACGACUACAUCCUAGUAGGUCAGAGCGCUCCAUCUGGUGGGUCCGAGCGCUCCAUCCUCAACAGGGACGACGGGGACGACUACAUCCUCGACAGGGCGGCCUACAUCCGCCAGGUCGCCCGCCAGGGUGGCGGCAGACUUCGCCAUGGGCGGCGCGGCGGCGGUGGUGGCCAAGAUGGGGGUGGCGCCGAAGGAGCGCGUCAAGAUGCUGCUGCAAAACCAAGCCGAGAUGUUGUGCCGGGGUGCCCUCAUGUAGCCCUACCGCGGGAUCACCGAUGCCUUUGCCCGCGUCCUCCGCGAGGAGUGUGCCGCCGCGCUCUGGUGCGGGAACCAGGCCAACGUCAUCCGAUACUUCCCCACCCUGGUCCGCCCCCUCCUCCCUCCCUUCCUUCCUUGACCAUCCACAUUUUCGUCUAACGAAUCCACUCGUCUGCUCGGCCACUGCCGACGCCACGGAGCUUCCAUGGCCUAGCCGGAAGGGGGAAGAAGAGACAUCGGGAUGGAAGGGAAGGAGGCCGCCGGGGAGUGAGCUGUUGUACUCGACGAAGAUAGCUGACGCCCGGAUAACCCCAUCCUCCCAAGAUGGCUUCUCGUGGCAUUCUUUGUUGAAUAAGGGACUGCCGAUCUAUCGACGACUCAACUGAGAGGGCGAGCUGGAGGAGCUUGAGAAGGGCGUGGAGCCUGCGUGGGAGCGCUUGGUCCACAUGCUCGAGCGCAUCAUCGACAGGCUGAACGUCAUAGGCCACAUCAAGGCCGUCAAGGACUCGCCCGACCUCCGUGCCACCGUCGAGGAUGUCGAGGCUGACAAGGACACUGACGAGGUCUAUGCACAGAUGACUCUGCAACCAGUAAACUCUCGGCUACUGUGUCUUGGAAGUUGCUUAGAGCUGGAGGAAUGGAUGCAUGCAGAGGUGGAUAGAACGACAACUGCAGAGUAGAAGUUUGAUAAUCUCUAGAGUCAAGAGGUAAAGGUUUAUUUUGUGUGUGUUUAUACAAUUAGGUUCUGGUUCUUACUGUUCUUGUUCUAGUAUGUAAGGUGAACAAAAGUCAAAAGUCAUGCAUUUGACCAGAUUUAUCUUGUUCUUCUUCUGGUCGAUCGUGAGGAGGUUCUUACUGUUCGCUGACUCUGUUCUGUUUUCAUGGUGAUACAACCUGGUUAUGAGGAAAAUGCCUCACCGGAACAUGGAUGGAACUGACGGGAGGUGGAUCCCUGCUCACCGACGCCAACCUCAUACAUAUCAUCGUCGACGCCAUCAUUAACUAGUACUAGCCUAUGUAGUCCCUUCCCUCCCUCCAUGAAAUAGAUGUUGUCAGUUGAAGGGAUGAUAGUGGCAGUACGAUAGUGUUUUUCUUCAUGCGUUGUGGUGGGAUUAUUGCACUAUUUGCUUGCUACUGUACCAUUGUACCUACAGGUUAUUAGUAUUGUUGAUCCUGACCAUGAGCUUGAAUGGUCUAGUAGUAGAAGAGCAUCAGUUUAAUUUGUAGCAGUCAUGUCACAGAUUUUUUUCCUAUGGCAUGGUACAAUUAUGAUUGGAAUGGUAGCCACUUAACAUGUUAGAAUGUACUGAUUAUUUGGGUUAA